RNAcentral lists this small nuclear RNA (196 nucleotides) under Olea europaea subsp. europaea. Its description in RNAcentral is "U2 spliceosomal RNA". It matches the Rfam family "U2 spliceosomal RNA". From Rfam's summary of the family: U2 is a small nuclear RNA (snRNA) component of the spliceosome (involved in pre-mRNA splicing). Complementary binding between U2 snRNA (in an area lying towards the 5' end but 3' to hairpin I) and the branchpoint sequence (BPS) of the intron results the bulging out of an unpaired adenosine, on the BPS, which initiates a nucleophilic attack at the intronic 5' splice site, thus starting the first of two transesterification reactions that mediate splicing. Lineage: Eukaryota; Viridiplantae; Streptophyta; Magnoliopsida; Lamiales; Oleaceae. The record is from Rfam by way of RNAcentral.
AUACCUUUCUCGGCCUUUUGGCUAAGAUCAAGUGUAGUAUCUGUUCUUAUCAGUUUAAUAUCUGAUAUGUGGACCAAUGGUCCACACGAUAUUAAAUUAAUUUUUUGAGGGGGAGAUUCCAUUACGGUAGCUUGCUGCUGGGGCUCUCGAGUGUCGCCUUGGCGUUGCACUACUGCCUGGGCCGGGCACACCCCAC